CAAAUACUCCCUCCGUCCGGAAAUACUUGUCGCAGAAAUGGAUAAAAGUGAAUGUAUAUAGAACUAAAAUAUGUCUAGAUACAUUUAUUUCUUUGACAAGUAUUUUCGGACGGAGGGAGUAUGAU
This is a non-coding RNA of Triticum aestivum (bread wheat), 125 nucleotides long. The record is from Rfam. NCBI's taxonomy places the organism in Eukaryota, Viridiplantae, Streptophyta, Magnoliopsida, Poales, Poaceae.